AUCUUCUCAUACAUCUGUGCUUCUCCGUCUUUACGGUGGAUGUAUUUUAAGACCAAUCAGCGGUGGUUGCUAGGCGGACCCAGAGUCGGCGGGCCAAUCAGUGUUUUUCUGUCAAUGUUAACUGACGUAUGUCGUCAUUGGCUACGACGUGUCUCCUCAUUGGCCACGAACGUCUGGGAGGAGCGCAGAGAGGCGGAGAAACGAAGUCGGAAAACAGAUUUAAUCCAAGUUUGAAGCGUUGCCUCUGUUUGCCAGUGCAGUGAGACAAAGUCACAGGUGUGGAUGCUAAAACAAACUCUGGGGCUGCUUUUUGUCGAACACGAGUGAGACCGAACACUGAAUACAUCUGCAGUAAGGCGAAGGUUUACUGAUUCAGCUGCUGCAGCCUGGACAGAAACACCAGCUCUCACCUGGCAAACCAAACGGGUGCCAUCACUUCGUCUGUGAUCACAGAGUCUUCGUAUGAUGAAGAAGUUCUUUGACACCAGGACAGAGGCCUCCAGGAUUCAAACUUCAACCAUUAAAUCACAGAGAGAAGAGAAGAGACAGACUUGAAGACAUUUCCAGAAGGUCUUCAGCUGCUGUCAUCUUCUCCUCCUGCAGAGACAAGAACACAUGUUAAUCACAGAAACUGAUCAGUAAAAAAAAAUGUCUUACCUUUUUUGACACCUGCCCAUACUAUGACAUCUUUUUGGUGGCUUACUGUACUAUGACAUUUUUUCACUUUUUUCACAUACAAUGACAUGUGACAUGUGGCUUAAAGCAGCCAUCUUACCUGUGUGAUUUAGUGUGUUUUUGGUGUUCUGAUUUUUCAAACAGUGCAAUAACAGUGCUCAAAUCCAAUCUAUUACUGUGUACAUAGUCCUGUUUAUACUGUUCAUGUUGUUAUAAUUUUUACAUACUGUUAUAUAUUAACUUGUCUUAAAACUUGUCUUUCUUAUAUCAUGCCUUUUUCUGUUUUUGCUGCUGAAACACUGAAUUUCCUGACUGUGGGACUAAUGAAAGAUCAUCUUUCUCUUACUCAAAUAAAUACUUCUGAAC
This is a long non-coding RNA of Lates calcarifer (barramundi perch), 1041 nucleotides long. RefSeq lists it as uncharacterized. Lineage: Eukaryota; Metazoa; Chordata; Actinopteri; Centropomidae. The transcript is spliced from 5 exons. The record is from RefSeq and is a predicted model, not a curated record.